This 429-nucleotide ribosomal RNA is filed under the name bacterium. RNAcentral describes it as "partial 16S ribosomal RNA". It matches the Rfam family "Bacterial small subunit ribosomal RNA", at positions 355 to 776 of the family's 1533-position model. The record is from RNAcentral.
UGGGGAAUCUUCCGCAAUGGACGAAAGUCUGACGGAGCAACGCCGCGUGAGUGAUGACGGCCUUCGGGUUGUAAAGUUCUGUUAAUCGGGACGAAUGGUUCUUGUGCAAAUAGUGCGAGGAUUUGACGGUACCGGAAUAGAAAGCCACGGCUAACUACGUGCCAGCAGCCGCGGUAAUCCGUAGGUGGCAAGCGUUGUCCGGAAUUAUUGGGCGUAAAGCGCGCGCAGGCGGAUUGGUCAGUCUGUCUUAAAAGUUCGGGGCUUAACCCCGUGAUGGUAUGGAAACUGCCAAACUAGAGUAGCGGAGAGGAAAGUGGAAUUCCUAGUGUAGCGGUGAAAUGCGUAGAUAUUAGGAAGAACACCAGUGGCGAAGGCGACUUUCUGGACGAAAACUGACGCUGAGGCGCGAAAGCCAGGGGAGCGAACGGG